This 768-nucleotide ribosomal RNA is filed under the name Staphylococcus sp. Its description in RNAcentral is "bacterial SSU rRNA". It matches the Rfam family "Bacterial small subunit ribosomal RNA", at positions 83 to 837 of the family's 1533-position model. Lineage: Bacteria; Bacillati; Bacillota; Bacilli; Caryophanales; Staphylococcaceae. The record is from RNAcentral.
UCUCUGAUGUUAGCGGCGGACGGGUGAGUAACACGUGGGUAACCUACCUAUAAGACUGGGAUAACUCCGGGAAACCGGGGCUAAUACCGGAUAAUAUUUUGAACCGCAUGGUUCAAUAGUGAAAGACGGUUUCGGCUGUCACUUAUAGAUGGACCCGCGCCGUAUUAGCUAGUUGGUAAGGUAACGGCUUACCAAGGCGACGAUACGUAGCCGACCUGAGAGGGUGAUCGGCCACACUGGAACUGAGACACGGUCCAGACUCCUACGGGAGGCAGCAGUAGGGAAUCUUCCGCAAUGGGCGAAAGCCUGACGGAGCAACGCCGCGUGAGUGAUGAAGGUCUUCGGAUCGUAAAACUCUGUUGUUAGGGAAGAACAAAUUUGUUAGUAACUGAACAAGUCUUGACGGUACCUAACCAGAAAGCCACGGCUAACUACGUGCCAGCAGCCGCGGUAAUACGUAGGUGGCAAGCGUUAUCCGGAAUUAUUGGGCGUAAAGCGCGCGUAGGCGGUUUCUUAAGUCUGAUGUGAAAGCCCACGGCUCAACCGUGGAGGGUCAUUGGAAACUGGGAAACUUGAGUGCAGAAGAGGAGAGUGGAAUUCCAUGUGUAGCGGUGAAAUGCGCAGAGAUAUGGAGGAACACCAGUGGCGAAGGCGGCUCUCUGGUCUGUAACUGACGCUGAUGUGCGAAAGCGUGGGGAUCAACAGGAUUUAGAUACCCUGGUAGUCCACGCCGUAUACGAUGAGUGCUAAGUGUUUAGGGGUUUCCGC